Molecule: long non-coding RNA, 863 nt
Organism: Bos taurus (domestic cattle)
Lineage: Eukaryota; Metazoa; Chordata; Mammalia; Artiodactyla; Bovidae
Source: Ensembl
CCUCGCCAGCCGCUAAUUACACGUCUCCUAAUGAGGCCGGCGGCUGUUUGCAAUCACUUGGGUCCCCGCCGCUCGGCGCGGGAGGCCGUGGGGGAAUCCGCCCGCGGGGGCGUGGACGGCGGUUGCAGCCCGGGACCGCUAGAUCCGCUGGGCGGAGGCGGGGGUGCGCCCCGGCGGCGUCUGCUACGCAAUGUGCGCCUGGCUCAGUCAGUCUUUGGAAUCAUUAUCAUCCCACUUUACAGAUGAGGAAGGGGGCUGAGGCUCGGAAAAGCGAACUCAGGCGCAAAACUCAAGCUGAAAUAAUCUAAUCCAGUGCUCUUAACACGGUUCUCACCAUCAAUUUGCCCUUUUGGAUCAGGCACAAAACCGAGUAUCAGCUCCAGUAAGGCCUUUAAAGUUUACUUGGAAAGGCAGUGGUUAUCGAGAGACCAGUAACGUGGGCCAGUUAGAUGGCGGUUAGAAGUCCCAUCAGCCCCUGGGCGGCGCCACAGCAGGCCCCUCUCCCAAGCGAGCAACUGUCACCGAGCGACCCUUCAUGGGCUAUUCAGCCAACAGUCAUUGGAGUGGUGGUCCGUCAGGAGGAGAGUAAGAAUGUGAGCUCUGGACUUCCCCGGUGGUCCAGUAGGUGGGAGUCUGCCUGCCAAUGCAGGAGACACAGGUUUGAUCCCAGGUCCAGGAAGAUUCCAGAUGCCGCAGGUCGUGUGCGCCACAACUACUGAGCCCUUGCGCCCUAAAGCCUGAGCUCUGCAACAGCAGAAGCCACUGCAAUGAGAAGCCCACGCACCUCAACUAGAGAGUAGCCUCGUUCGCCACAACCAGAGAAAGCCGGCCUGCAGCAACGUGAAGAUCCCACCCAACCAAAA